RNAcentral lists this ribosomal RNA (1479 nucleotides) under Triticum aestivum (bread wheat). Its description in RNAcentral is "partial small subunit ribosomal RNA". The record is from RNAcentral. Lineage: Eukaryota; Viridiplantae; Streptophyta; Magnoliopsida; Poales; Poaceae.
AUGCCGGACAGGAGAGGAGCGACCCUGCUCGAGGACCUCCCUGAGGAAAUCAUUGACAGGAUACUCAUCCGAUUGCCGCCCAAGGAUGUCGGCCAGUGCCGUGCUGUCAGUACGUCAUGGUGCAGUGCCACCUCCACGCCCGAAUUUAUGCUCGAACACCACCACCGCCAGCCAUCGCUCCCCAUCAUCGACGGGCGCGGGCGGCCUGCCAGUUUCGUCGUCUUCCAAGGCCCUGGCGCCGGCGCCUCCAGUCAACAGCUCUGGCCCUUCAUCCCGGGUUUCAAGCACUACCGCAAAAAACCUCGGCUCUCAGUCGCCUGUGAUGGCUUCCUCAUCCUCAUAGAGGGAAAUGAAUACUACAUCUACAACCCGGUCAUCGACAAGCGUGCUCUCCUACCGGACCCUCGAGCUAGGAACGCUGGGUGGAGAGACAUAAUUGGUUUCUAUCGGCACCAGCCAACUGGAGAAUACAGGGUGCUCUGGGCCGUAUUCCGUCGUCUCUCGGUGGUCAGACCCAGCUUAUACAUCCUCGCAGUGGGAUCCGAUGAGCGGAGGCACGUCGUCAGAAUGCCAACAGUCUCGUCACCUUCCAUGAAACAUAAGUUAAUGAGCGUGUUGCGCUAUUUGAACCAUUGUCCACCAGCAGUUCACCACCGUGGCAGCCUGCACUGGUGUCCUUUUUCUGUUUGCGGUGUCGCCGACAUUACUGGAGGCAGCGGAGACAUUGUUGUGUUCGACACAGAAGCGGAGCUAUUCCGGUGGAUGUGCAGUCCUGACCAGCUGUACCCUAAUAGGAGCUUGUUCGAUAUGAAUGGGACACUUGGUUUCUGGGGCAGCUCAAUCGAGGAUGGUUGUUUGAGUUUCACCGCUUUGGAUAUUUGGGUGAUGCAGGACUACAAGGCUGGAAUCUGGGAUUUCAAGCACCGGAUUGACCUGGCAACGGUCGACGCAUCACGGCAACUUUAGCUGACCUCUUGCAAAAGGAAAAAGAAAACACCACUUCAUUCAAAAGUGCGAUGGUUCAAUGAUAUGGUUGCGCUUAACGAGCGUGAGCUGCUGAUCAUGUUUAACAGUAAGCAUGUGUUGCGUUGCGGCACUGAUGGCAAGGUCUUAGGUUUGGUGAAGAUUGGAGAGAGUCAAUACUGUAUGUCGCUUACUCCCCGCCGCUUCCAAGAGAGCAUUAUUCCAAUUCCGUCCCUUGAGAUGCAAGCAGAAGAGGAGACUUCCGUUCUCCACGGGGUGUCUCUGAAGGUUCAAAGACUCCUUCCCUGGCUUUCUUUGCCAUUGGGCCCAGAGCUUGUCUUUUUUUUCAGUUAUUGCUUUUGGCUGACAGAGUCGCACUCUAGCAUUUCCUUAGAUGUUAGUUACUGCAUUUUUAGUUGCGGAAAUGUUAUGGUUAGUCUGGAUCUCUCCUUGCAAGGCUGGUUGUUCAGAAUGCAAACUCUUGAGUAUUACUUGUUGCUUGUAGCACUCGGUUGA